RNAcentral lists this non-coding RNA (369 nucleotides) under Kaistella haifensis DSM 19056. RNAcentral's name for it is "bacterial LSU rRNA". It matches the Rfam family "Bacterial large subunit ribosomal RNA", at positions 196 to 559 of the family's 2925-position model. Lineage: Bacteria; Pseudomonadati; Bacteroidota; Flavobacteriia; Flavobacteriales; Weeksellaceae. The record is from RNAcentral.
AAACAUCUAAGUACCUGGAGGAAUAGAAAGCAAUAGCGAUUUCCUGAGUAGCGGCGAGCGAAACGGAAGAUAGCCCAAACCAAGAGGCUUGCCUCUUGGGGUUGUAGGACACUCUAUACGGAGUUACAAAGGAACGGGGUAAAUGAAGCGACCUGGAAAGGUCCGUCAAAGAAGGUAAAAACCCUGUAGUUGAAACCUCGUUCCCUCUUGAGUGGAUCCUGAGUACGGCGGAACACGUGAAAUUCCGUCGGAAUCUGGGAGGACCAUCUCCCAAGGCUAAAUACUACCUAGUGACCGAUAGUGAACCAGUACCGUGAGGGAAAGGUGAAAAGCACCCCGGAAGGGGAGUGAAAGAGAACCUGAAACCGU